Long non-coding RNA from Micropterus dolomieu (smallmouth bass), 286 nucleotides. RefSeq lists it as uncharacterized. Lineage: Eukaryota; Metazoa; Chordata; Actinopteri; Centrarchiformes; Centrarchidae. The transcript has 3 exons. The record is from RefSeq and is a predicted model, not a curated record.
CGUGCAUGCGCACUUGUGCGUGUACUCGCGCGCGCUCCCUGCUUCAUGGUUAAAAAGUCCAGUGGCCGUCUCUGCUGUCUUUGGGCUUGCGGAUUAGAUCCACAGGAACAUUUCUGUAGGGGUGUACUGGAGAAAGAGUGAUUAAUAGAAGAACUACAGCUACACCAACUUGUGUCCAAAAUGCAGACUUGUGAAUGCAGUGAAUGUGAGGGAAACUACCCUUGCACAGACAUCCUAAAUUUUGUGAGCGUAGUGUUUGCUAUUAGACAGUCUAUAAAGCAUCCAA